Molecule: non-coding RNA, 6591 nt
Organism: Rattus norvegicus (Norway rat)
Lineage: Eukaryota; Metazoa; Chordata; Mammalia; Rodentia; Muridae
Source: RefSeq, a predicted model, not a curated record
GAAGAAGAAGAAGAAGAAGAAGAAGAAGAAGAAGAAGAAGAAGAAGAAGAAGAAGAAGAAGAAGAAGAAGAAGAAGAAGAAUCCAAAUAAACAAAUUUGGGCUGGAGAGAUGGCUUAGUGGUUAAGAGCAGCAUUACUGCUCUAACAGAGGUCCUGAGUUCAAUCCCCAGCAACCACAUGGUGGCUCACAACCAUCUGUAAUGGGAUCUGAUGCCCUCUUCUGGUGUGUCUAAAGAGAGUGACAGUGCACUCAUAGACAUGAAUAAAUAUUAAAAAAAACAAACACACAGUAAAAAUUAAAAUUCUGAAGUCCAGCGGCUUGUGCCUGUAAUCCAGGGAUUGGGCAGGGAGGCAGAACUGGGCCAGUUCGGCUACAGCAGACCCUGCCACAAAGAAGCCAACAGAGAAAUACUGUCAUCUCUAAAACCCAAGGCCAGGUCUUGCACACGCAAAGCACUGAGCCCUCAGCCCUGCGGCCCCUUUAAAUCUAGAAGGCUCGGACGAACAAAGUUUCUGCACCUCAAACACAGAUCUUGUACUGGCCUUUAGUCAGCCAAGGAGAGCAGAGGGUCUGUGUCCCAGCCCCUGAUCUCCAGUGUGUGAGUGUGAAGCACGGUUGUCUGGGCUCUCUCUCCUCACCUGGGACAUCGGCCAAGGCCUCUGGCCCAGAGGAGUCCCUCACUUCCCAGCUGUUUCCCCACCGUCCUCCUGGGAGAGAAGCCAGGGGCAGGGGGUGGGGGAGGAGUGGGCAGCUGCACGGAGGAAGAGAUGGGGGCUUACUUAAAGACUCAUCUGUGACAGCAGCCAGUUCAGCUCCCAGGCCAGCUGCUCUCUGGAAUCCUGGCCUGUCACACCCGGGGUCCACUUAUAAAUAAACAGCAACCUUUGCACCAACAAGCACAGAGCUAGCUAAGAGCCCCGGGUUGCAGAGGGUGUGAAUAGUGACCGGGUAAGACCCGAGAGAGUCCACUUGAUCUCUGGCUCAAAGCACCUAAGAAUUCCAACUGGACUCACUCCUUCCACAGGGAAAGAAGGCAAGGGGGAGUGGCCAUCCCAGACAACAGCCUUCUGCAAUGAUGCCUUCCGACUCCGUUCACGGGCACUCUGAGAACCUACCUCUCCCAAACCCAACUAAGAGCAGGACCAGACUCCUCCUGGCAGUGUGGGGUGUUGUUGGCCCCUCGGAGACCUCUGGAUUUCAACAUUCCUCAUCUCAGUGCUCAGAGAUCUGUUCCCUGUCCAAGGCAUAACCCAAUGACAAAAAUAGCAGCUGCUGGAGGUGGGGAGAGGGAAGGGGUUUCCACACAAUGGGUUUAUUUGUAGACUACACACCAGGGGCUCAGCAGCCAAGCAGCCGAGGCCCCACUCCCAGAAGGCCAGCCAAGAGCUAGGCCAGCCCAGCUAAGGAGAUGGGGAGUGUCAGACCAGAAGGCAAUUGAGUUUCUGUGUGACUUCAGGUAGUCAGUCUCUCAGGAAGGGGUUCCUUCCCACUAUGUGGGGACUGUUCUAGAACAGUAACUCUCACAGAGGGACCCGGGGACCCCACAAGGUCACAGCUACUUCACAGUCAUGACACUGUCUACCUGCAUCACUCCCUGCCUUCCCCAGUGGCCUUUCCCAGAGACUGUGUUGCUCAUGACCACAGCAGAUGCCUGCCUCACAGAAGCCGAUACGAGGGACGCACUGCUCUCUAUGACAUCAGACGCCAGAUUCGCAAACAUUUUGUUUUUGCAGUGCUGAGGAUCAAACAACCAAGGGAUGAACAUUCUACCAACCAGGUUACUGCAGAGCCCCGAAGGAUCACCCGUCCAGAUCACCCGUCCAGAACAGCCGUCCAGGACAGAGAAAGAAAGUUCAGUUUAUCACUGUUACCACUACCUACAGGUGGGAAAGAUGGCUAACCCAGUGGAGAAGUUACACUGUCUGUCUGCCUGUCUAUCUAUCCUCCUCUCCUCUAUCCAUCUAUCAUCUAUCAAUUAUAUCAUUCAUCCAUAUAGCUAUCAUCUAUCUACCUAUCUAUAAUCUAUCUAUCUGUCUGUCCAUCUGUCUAUCUCUAUCUCGUGUCUCUAGUAGCUGAGACUGGCCUGAACUCCUGAUCCAUCUAUGUCUGUCUGUCUAUCUCAUGUCUCCAAGUAGCUAAGGCUGGCCUGAACUCCUGAUUUAUCUAUGUCUGUCUGUCUGUCGGUCUGUCUCUAUCUAGUGUCUCCAGUAUCUGAGGCUGGCCUGAACUCCUGACCUUACUUUCCCACUCCCCUAGCUGGGUGCAUCCAGGGAAGUACAAGUCAAGCCCAGACUGAACCCACUUUUGAAGAGCCACUGUAGCUGUUGGCUGGAGAUCCCCAGGUCCUCUGGCAAAUCCUUUCUGCAGGGAAUGGGAGAGGCAAAGGCAAGGGACAGACACUCACUCCUGUCCCCAGCUGUUGUUUACCUACUUUUCUCCUUUCUCUGUGCCAACCGCAGGGGCCCCUGUGCUGUGGGUCCUGCCAGCUCUGUACGAAGGCCUCUAGCCGGAGCUCCUCCUUCAAUCAUGAAAUCAUGAUUCCUCCUCUGCUCUCCUCAGACGUCUGCAAGCUACCCGCCCGUUUCCCCACAGGGGAGAAGCCAGCAGCAGGGACACAUCUUUAAUUCCAGCACUUUGCAUAGAGGCAGGUGGAUUUCUAUGAGAUCAAGGCCAGCCUUGUCUGCAUACUGAGUUCCAGGUCAGCCAGGGCUACACGGUGAGACCUUGUCUCAAAACAAAUCACAAAAACGAAUCGUCUGUCCCUACUUACCACCCAAUAGAGCACAGCGUUGUCUCUUCCCUGCCGAGGCCAGUUCAUCUUGACUGACACAUCUGGUUUUGCUAUCUACCUUCUGAAGGCAUUUCCCCAUCCACUUUUUGCAUACUAGGAAUUACUCUCAGAGCCUCGAACAUGUUAAGCAUCCACUCAAACACUUCUCAGGCAACUUUAAGAUUUUUUUAUUUUAUGUAAAUGAGUGUUUUGGCUGUACAUACGUGUGCGCCAGGUACACGCCUGGCGUCUACAUGGUCAGAGGAGGACAUCAGAGUCCCCGAAAAUGGGGUACAUAUGGGUGUGAGUCAUCAUGUGGGUUCUAGAAAUUGAAGCCAGGUACUCUGGGAAAGCAACCAGUGCUCUGCUCACUCUACCACUGCUCCAACACAAAGCUUUUCAAUAACUCCCUUCAAAGCAAAGGGUUGUGGUACGGUUUUCUCUGAGGCUGAAACAUUCCAUACCUCAGAGAAGCUCCUUAAACAAGAAGGUGAACAACUUGAAAUAGAUUCAGGAAGUCCUUGAAACUGAACAGAUUCAUCAGGCUCCUUCCCAAUAGAGUAUGAAAUAAAAGCUGAGGGUCCCUCUAAGGUCAAGAAAACGGAAUUGCAAUGAAGAUUCUCAGAGGAGAAAAGCUACAAAGAGGACUCCUGAGGCCAGCUGAGCUGCUUGGUGAGGUUUAAAACUCUGGAGCCUGUAGAAGGACACUCUGGCCUAGUGAGCAGCGAGCUCCAGGUUCCCUGCUGUGUCAGCUGCCAUUCAUGCUGGAGUCUCCUUUGGUGACACAGCCAUCUUUCAGUCAUUUCUGCUCCUCUAAGUAACGCCAAUAAAAUGGAACGGUUCACCAAAUUGGACUUUGGUGGUAUCCAUACUUUGGUCUGUUCUGGGUUCCCUAUCUAGAGUGAGUAGAUGUGUAUGUUGUGUCUCCCCAGAAAAAGUUUUGUCACACAUCACAAAGUUUCUCAAAAUGGAAGAAAAACAAAAGAAAACAAACAAACAAUACAAAAUUUAAAAACCCAAAGGAGCCAUCCUCAGGCAUGAGAGCUGGCCCUGGCCCUGACCUGGGCAAACCAGGAGAGCUGGCCCUCGAGGUUCAGGUGCAGGACAGCUGGUGGGGUGACCAACUCAACUUCCACCCAGGCCCAGAUCCAGGGUUUUGAGUUGACCACCCCAACAUACACCCCACAUAUGAACUGCUAGAGCAUGUGAAGGGGCCGGUCCUGCAGAUCCAAAGCUGCAGGAUCUCCAUGACACAGGGCAACAGCAGGAUAACUGGGAGGAGCCCCGGUGAGGAUCCAGUAUGGAUGGUGUAGGAGGACCAGAGGCCAUGAACCAGACCAAUGACUCAUAGCAAUGAACGUUUGCAAAUAAAGCUGUUUGGAAAAAGGGUGUGCUGUGUGACACACUGGGACACAUCACAACUUCCACAGUGAGAUGUUUUCUUUUCUUUCUUUUGUUUGUUUUUGUUUUUGUUUUCUUUGAUAUGGGGGAGGGGGGAGGCUGCAAGGGUAGAGGAUGGAUAUGAAGGGGAGAUGAGUGGGACUGGGAAAGAAGAGGUGAAAUUCACAAAGCAUUCAUUAAAUAAGAAAACCCUAAAGAACAAAACCUAAAUGGAAGGAGGGCUGUGGGCUGUGGCUCUCCCCUUCCUUACUCUGUGUCCUUAGUGGCAGGUCAUGGCCACAGCAGUAAACCCAAGCUACUCUUCCCAGUCUUCCCUGCCUUCUACCUGCACUUACUUUACCAAGCCUCGGAGCAGAGUCCCCAUGCCACAUACAACCCACCCGAUUAAACUGUGUAGCCGGUAUGUUGUCACACCCUCUGAGCAUGCUCAGGCGCAGGUGAGAGGCUCUCACGCUGAACGCCAGCCUGGGAGACCAGAGACCUGGCCUCAAAGAACAUCUACAAGUUACAGAGGGACACACACAACUCAGUGGAUUUUGCUGUACUCAGGUAAGUGGCCAAUCGCAUCAACUUUAGACCGUUUAUUUACUCUUGCCUUUUCCCUUAGCAGCUUCCGCCAGGGGAACCGCUGUGUAGCUUCUGUCUUCGUAGGUUUCUUUAUUCUGCACAUUCUGUUUGAAUGGAAUCACACAGUAAGUGGCCUCCUGUGACUGGCUCCUUUCACCCCGUUACAGUCUGUUCAGAGUUCACCAUGCGGCAAGCUUUAUUGCGGCCCAUUCUUCACGGCUAAGCCUGUGCACAGCCCGAGUUCUGUUUAUCCACUCCCUGAAGCAGACACUGGGGCUGUCUGCACCUUUGGGCUAUUGUAAUAAUAUGAUCUAUGGGCACAUUUGUGUAUGGCUGUAUGUUUUCAGGUCUCUUAGGGGUCUGUGAGUAGAACUGCUGGAUCAUGUGACUUACUUCUAGUUGUUCAUGGAGGUACCAGGCUGCCUUCCAAAGCUGACAGUUUUCCAUUUCACCAACCAAGUCUGAGGGCUGUGAUUUCUUUACACCCUCACUGCUCGCAACCUGCUUUUCUGAUCCUAGGCACUCAUAACUGUAAGAAGCGGUCCUCACUGUGGUCUGGCUUUGAGAGUCUCACUACACAGCGGGCCUGGAACUUGUUAUAUUUACGUAAGACCCUAGCCUUGAAUUUACAGAGAUCCUUCUGCCUUCUGCUGCCGAGUGCUAGAAUUAAAUAUGUGUACUACCAUACCAGUUCAUGUGGCUUUGGUUUAUAAUUCCUAGAUGAUUUACAAUGGUGGCCAUUAUUGAGAGCGUCCCCUACCCCGGGUUCUAACCUCUUUUUAUUUUAUGUACAUGGGUGGUUUUUUUUUUUCUGGCAUGUUAAGUCUGUAUGUUGUAUGUGUGCAACGACAGUGAGGACAGAAUCCUCUGGGACUACAGUUACAGAGGGUUGUGAGCCACCAUGUGGGUGCUGGGAACUGAACCCAGGUCCUUUGGAAGAGCAACCAGUCCUCUUGACAGCCACCUCUUCAGCACCCGAUUUUUUUUUUAAAGAUUUAUUUAUUUAUUAUAUAUACUGUAGCUGUCUUCAGAUACACCAGAAGAGGGCAUCGGAUCUCUUUACAGAUGGUUGUGAGCCACCAUGUGGUUGCUGGGAAUUGAACUCAUGACCUCUGGAAGAGCAGUUGGGUGCUCUUAACCGCUGAGCCAUCUCUCCAGCCCAGCACCCGAUUUUUAAAGUUUUACUUAUAGAAAAGGUUAUUUGAAUCUCUGCCCACUUUCAAAUUGGGUGGGUUUUCUUUUUUAAAAAAAGAUUUAUUUAUUUAUUUAUUUAUUUAUUUAUUUAUUUAUACAUACACUGUUGCCAUCUUCAGACACACCAGAAGAGGGCACCAGAUCCCCGUUGCAGAUGGUUGUGAGCCACCAUGUGGUUGCUGGGAUUUGAACGCAGGGCCUCUGUUAGAGCAGUCAGUGCUCUUAACCACUGAGCCAUCUCUCCAGCCCUUCAAACUGGGUUUUCUAAACAGACAUCAGUACUCUUUACAUGUUCUGAAGAUAAACCUCUCAGUCCAUAUACAUUGCAAACAUUUCACUCCAUUCUGUGGGAGAUCAGUGAGGGGAUUUUUUUGGUCCUGGACUUUUCUUAUCUUUCCAACUUCUCAUUUCUCUCCUUCUCUGUGUGUUUGUGUGUGCACAUGUAUAUGUAAUAUGUGUUUGUGUCUAUGUGUGUGUGUGUGUGUACACUUAACAGAUAUAGUAGCAUGUUACCACUUGUAUAUUUUUCUUUAAGCAGAACGAUUUUUAGAAGAUGAAGUGACAGAACGUAUUCACAUCCAGCCAGCACCCCCAUGGCAGCUCACUGUCUGUAACUCCAGGAUCCAACGCCCCCACACAGACAUACAUGCAGGCAAAA